This is a non-coding RNA of Lonchura striata (white-rumped munia), 630 nucleotides long. Lineage: Eukaryota; Metazoa; Chordata; Aves; Passeriformes; Estrildidae. The record is from RefSeq and is a predicted model, not a curated record.
CUGAGCUUGUACAGAUGAUUGUUAAACGUCAUGAGACUCUGAAAGGUAGAGUAGGCAAGAGGAGGAGGAAGCCAAGAAAAGAACUGUGUGGGAGUUACAGUGAGAAAUGGAUUUCGGCAAAAAAAAAUGAAGCGCUGAAGAAGCAGCCGGAGAGUGAAUCUCUUGAAGAAAAACUUGAAAGCCUGGAUGCUGAAGAUCUCAUGUCUCAUCUGUCACGACCAGAAACCUACCUAGAAGAGGAGAAAAGAUCAAGUUUUUCUGCCACUAUAUUGCAUACUCUUUCCAGUUUAACACUUGUGUUGCUGUGGGGAAAGGAAGGUCCUAGACAUGCUACAGAGCCCUGAGCAGGAAGAAGUUGUUAGAAGGCAGACCUGGCACUGCACUGUGUUUUUGUGGAUUGGGAAAGACAUCUCCUGGCAGACAACUGAGUACCACCAUCUUACAACAAACCCAUAGCCACUGGCAACCCUGGAUGUGACUCAACCCAUGAUGAUGCCUGCUGGUUCUUUAAUUUUACAGCACACCUCUUCCUUUUAAUUAUAUUAUUCAUCUUUGUAGGCAAAAACGUCGCUAUCAUCAUAGGUUUAUGUUAUUCAAAUCAAAGCACGAAAUAAAAAAUAUAAAAUGGCU